UGCCCCUUAGCCAAGUGGUAAGGCAGCGGUUUUUGGUACCGCCAUCCGUUAGUUCGAAUCUAACAGGGGCAGCCA
Molecule: transfer RNA, 75 nt
Filed under: Metamycoplasma subdolum
Lineage: Bacteria; Bacillati; Mycoplasmatota; Mycoplasmoidales; Metamycoplasmataceae
Description: tRNA-Gln
Rfam family: tRNA
About the family: Transfer RNA (tRNA) molecules are approximately 80 nucleotides in length. Their secondary structure includes four short double-helical elements and three loops (D, anti-codon, and T loops).
Source: RNAcentral